This 72-nucleotide transfer RNA is filed under the name Sus scrofa (pig). It matches the Rfam family "tRNA". From Rfam's summary of the family: Transfer RNA (tRNA) molecules are approximately 80 nucleotides in length. The record is from Rfam by way of RNAcentral. Lineage: Eukaryota; Metazoa; Chordata; Mammalia; Artiodactyla; Suidae.
UCCCUGGUGGUCUAGUGGUUAGGAUUUGAUACUUUCACUUUGGGGGCCUGGGUUUGAUCCCUAGUCUGGGAA